RNAcentral lists this ribosomal RNA (621 nucleotides) under Triticum aestivum (bread wheat). RNAcentral's name for it is "partial small subunit ribosomal RNA". The record is from RNAcentral. Lineage: Eukaryota; Viridiplantae; Streptophyta; Magnoliopsida; Poales; Poaceae.
AUGAUUAGCACAAACAUCUUAGCAUGGAAUGUUCGAGGGCUUAACAACCCUGAUCGUCGUGGGGUGGUCAGAAAUGUUGUACCGUUGCAUAGCCUGACAAUUAUCUGCCUGCAAGAGUCGAAGCUAGCGGUGGUUGACAGUAUGAUCAUUAGUCAAGUCUGUGGUCCAAAGUACACCGAGUUCUUAUUCGAGCCUGCUUUGGGUACUAGAGGUGGUUUAAUUGUUUCUUGGGACCCCGAUGUGGUUGAUAUAAACCUCCUUGCUCAGCAGAAAUCUUUCAUUAUCGUUGAUUGCUGUUGGAGGCUGAUAGAUACUAAGUUCAAAUUAGUCACAGUCUAUGGACCUCAGUCGGAUGCUGACAAGCUAAAUUUCUUAGAUGAUCUGAGACCAUUGUGUCAUUCCAAUCUUCCUUGCAUUUUCAUUGGUGACUUCAAUCUUAUUAAUGAUGCUUCGGACAAGAACAAUAUGAAUAUAAAUCGAAGAAUGAUGGCAGCUUUUAGGAGAUUUAUUAAUGAGCUGGAGCUUAGAGACAUCAGACAUGUACCUCCAUGGCAGAAAGUAUACUUGGACCAACAAACAGCAAAUUGCAACAAAAGUGAAGCUGGACAGGGUGCUCUAUAA